Molecule: non-coding RNA, 1566 nt
Organism: Salmo salar (Atlantic salmon)
Lineage: Eukaryota; Metazoa; Chordata; Actinopteri; Salmoniformes; Salmonidae
Source: RefSeq, a predicted model, not a curated record
UUAGCUAACAUUAACUAGCUAGCUAACAGUUUUUGUAGCUUUCUGUUUAUAUGUAGCUUGCACUUCAAUGGAAUCCCUCAAGGAGAUGUUAUUUGAUCUUUCCAACCAGGUGAAGUACUAUGAAGGCACCACUGAUCUCGACAAGAGGCGCAACAUUCGUAGGGGGCAGAAAUUCACUAUUCAGGGCAAUCACAUGUACCUAUGGGGGAAGGAUGGCCAGCCACACAGGAGGGUGAUUUUCACUGAGGAGAAGGAGGCCAUGCUGACCGAGAUGCAUGUUGGCCAUUUCAGAGUGAAGCGCCUGAUUGCCAAAAUCAACAUACGCUUCUUUUGGCAUGGGAUUGUCAAGGAUGUGGACAGCUGGGCAAGUAAAACAACCUUUUGUUUAUCGAUCACAUUCAAUUAUAUCUGAAAUUAUUAUGAUUUCAAUGAAUGUCAUAUCAGAGAGAACACAAUGUUUCAAUUUGUCACCUUGUGCUUAAAGGUCUAGCCUGACAGAAGUUUGAGAGGGUGAAGCCUGGCAUAAGAGUUGAAGCCCAUCAGUUGUUUUACCAUGGCACAUGAUCGACUUUAUAUGUUAGGGGUUGACUUCAUCGGACCCUUAACGAAAUACAGGAAUGGCAACAGCUGGUGUCUGACGGCGACCGAUUAUUUUACCAAGUGGGGGGAGGCAAUACCCAUUCAGGACAAGACUGGCGAGGCCACCUCCAAGGUGAUGAUGGACAUCUUCAACACCUACGGUUCUCCUGAGGUCAUCUUGACUGACCAAUGUCGUGAACUCUGAAACAAGGUUUGGAUGAACAGACCAACCACACCCUCAAGACUGCCAUGGGCAAGUCCCUUGACGGGUUCCAGGAAUGGUGGGAGGACAACCUGAAGGUCAUUCUCUUUGCAAUUCGAGCCCUGCUUUUAACCAUAAGACAUCUCCACAGAAACGUAUAGCCUAACGAUUGCAUGGUGACAGUGAUUGUGUCUGUUAAACCGGUAAACUGGAAAUUCUGGGGGAAAAAACUAGUUCAAGUCAUGAUAUCAGGGAUUUUCAGGUCAGAGAAAGAUGCCAGAGUUUCUGAAUUGGAAUUCCGAGUUGGAUGACCGUUCAAAACUAUUUUUCCCAGUCUGAGCUUGCUUUUUUCCCCGAGUUCCCAGUUGUCUUGAACACACUGAAGUCGGUAGUCAGAGAUUGCAAAGUUCUGAGGUUUUUUUUAUGUGCCACUAGAGACCUAGGCUACCUCUUAUUUCUGAAUAGGGCUACCUCCAACAAAGAAGCGCUUAUGUCUGUAUUGAUGUGAGAAAUAGGCAUAUCUUCACAGUAAUGGUGGCUGGCUGCGAUAUCAACAAGCCUAAUCAUUUUUGUAUUGAGGUGAUAUUCAAUUGACAAAUUUCAAUUGAAAUUAAUUAGAUUACUCUGGCAAUGAAAAAUAUUUAGAUGUAAGGCGUUCAUGGUGAGAUCUUUAAUAAUAAAGUAAACAGACACUUAUCCUGUUAGGGCUAGGGGGCAGUAUUGACACGGCUGGAUAAAAAACGUACCCGAUUUAAUCUGGUUACUACUCCUGCCCAGUAACUAGA